GUGGCCAUAGAUAUACCCUGGGCUACCCUCACAGUGAACCUGCCCAUCACAAACAAGGGCUGCAGCAUGAAGAGGGCCAACCUCUGCCUUCCAGGUACCUGCACUACCUAUCAGAUGACAGCCUGGCUGCCAGUUAGCAUCCCUGCUGACCCCUGUGGCCUGCCCUUUCCAGAGACUAUGCUCCAGCAGCCUUUCGAAGAUGCCACCUUGGAGGACAACAUCUUCUUCCCAGAGGGACUUGAGCAGCCCAGUGGCCUCCACCAGGUGAAAGGGAAAUGAUGAAGAUGAGUUAUCCUGAAGGCCCCAACCUUCAUUGUGGUAGCUGGGCAUAAUCUGGGAAGGCUUCCUGCAAGUGUCCCUGGCAACUACCAUUCUACUUUCUGUUCUGUGAAUUUGACUGCUUUAGAUACCUCAGAGGGAGUGCAUGAGCAGGAGAGAGAGAACCUUAAGCAAGCUCCACACUCAGCAUGGAGCCUGGUGCCGGACUCAAUCUCACAACCCUGGGAUCAUGACCUGAUUGGAAAUCAAGAGUGGGAUGCUCAACCUCCUGAGCCACACAGGACAGUUGAUCAACAGCAUCUUUCACACCAUUUCCAGCCAGUGUCAGCCCUAAAAAGUGAUCCCUCAACACCACAGAAUUUGGGAGCAAGCUACAAGCCACUUCUCUACUCUCUAGGACAGUCAUCUGAGGUUCUCACCACACCCCAUGCUGCCCCUGAGCUUUGGCCCUUCUGCCUAGAAUUCUCCUUUCCUGAGCCUUUAUAUGCUUCUCUGUAGCAUUCUUGGAGUGCUUACCUCAUCAGGGUCUUAUUAAAUGCCUC
Molecule: long non-coding RNA, 821 nt
Organism: Acinonyx jubatus (cheetah)
Lineage: Eukaryota; Metazoa; Chordata; Mammalia; Carnivora; Felidae
Exons: 6
Source: RefSeq, a predicted model, not a curated record